GACGAACGCUGGCGGCGUGCUUAACACAUGCAAGUCGAACGGUAGGGCCCUUCGGGGUACACGAGUGGCGAACGGGUGAGUAACACGUGGGUGAUCUGCCCUGCACUUCGGGAUAAGCCUGGGAAACUGGGUCUAAUACCGGAUAGGACCACUGCCUGCAUGGGUGGUGGUGGAAAGCUUUUGCGGUGUGGGAUGGGCCCGCGGCCUGUCAGCUUGUUGGUGGGGUGAUGGCCUACCAAGGCGACGACGGGUAGCCGGCCUGAGAGGGUGACCGGCCACACGGGGUCGGGGAUACGGCCCAGACUCCUACGGGAGGCAGCAGUGGGGAAUAUUGCACAAUGGGCGCAAGCCUGAUGCAGCGCCGCCGCGUGAGGGGUGACGGCCUUCGGGUUGUAAACCUCUUUCAGCACCGACGAAGCGCAAGUGACGGUAGGUGCAGAAGAAGGACCGGCCAACUACGUGCCAGCCGCCGCCGUAA
RNAcentral lists this ribosomal RNA (478 nucleotides) under uncultured bacterium. RNAcentral describes it as "partial 16S ribosomal RNA". It matches the Rfam family "Bacterial small subunit ribosomal RNA", at positions 28 to 523 of the family's 1533-position model. The record is from RNAcentral.